GACGAACGCUGGCGGCGUGCUUAACACAUGCAAGUCGAGCGGUAAGGCCCUUUCGGGGGUACACGAGCGGCGAACGGGUGGGUAACACGUGGGUGACCUGCCCUCAGCUCUGGGAUAAGCCCGGGAAACUGGGUCUAAUACCGGAUAUGACUCCAUGACGCAUGUUGUGGGGUGGAAAGCCUUGUGCGGCUGAGGAUGGGCCCGCGGCUAUCAGCUUGUUGGUGGGGUGAUGGCCACCAAGGCGACGACGGGUAGCCGGCCUGAGAGGGCGACCGGCCACACUGGGACGUGAGACACGGCCCAGACUCCUACGGGAGGGCAGCAGUGGGGAAGUCUUGCGCAAUGGGCGAAAGCCUGACGCAGCGACGCCGCGUGA
RNAcentral lists this ribosomal RNA (376 nucleotides) under uncultured bacterium. RNAcentral describes it as "bacterial SSU rRNA". It matches the Rfam family "Bacterial small subunit ribosomal RNA", at positions 28 to 404 of the family's 1533-position model. The record is from RNAcentral.